Molecule: ribosomal RNA, 468 nt
Filed under: uncultured bacterium
Lineage: Bacteria
Description: partial 16S ribosomal RNA
Rfam family: Bacterial small subunit ribosomal RNA
Source: RNAcentral
GACGAACGCUGGCGGCGUGCCUAACACAUGCAAGUCGAACGGAAAGGCCCUGCUUUUGUGGGGUGCUCGAGUGGCGAACGGGUGAGUAACACGUGAGUAACCUGCCCCUGACUUUGGGAUAACUUCAGGAAACUGGGGCGAAUACCGGAUAGGAGCUCCUGCUGCAUGGUGGGGGUUGGAAAGAUUCGGCGGUGGGGGAUGGUCUCGCGGGUUAUCAGCUUGUUGGUGGGGUAGUGGCGUACCAAGGCUUUGACGGGUAGCCGGCCUGAGAGGGUGGCCAGCCACAUUGGGACUGAGAGACGGCCCAGACUCGUACGGGCGGCAGCAGUGGAGAAUAUUGCACAAUAGGCGGAAGCCAGAUGCAGCGGCGCCGCGUGCGGGAUGCCGGCCUACGGGUUGUAAACCGCUUUGGCAUGAGACGAAGCGUGCGUGACGGUAAUGGGUAAGGAAGCACCGGCUAACUACGUG